RNAcentral lists this ribosomal RNA (460 nucleotides) under uncultured bacterium. Its description in RNAcentral is "partial 16S ribosomal RNA". It matches the Rfam family "Bacterial small subunit ribosomal RNA", at positions 338 to 795 of the family's 1533-position model. The record is from RNAcentral.
CCUACGGGAGGCAGCAGUGAGGAAUAUUGGUCAAUGGCCGUAAGGCUGAACCAGCCAAGUAGCGUGAGGGAAGACUGCCCUAUGGGUUGUAAACCUCUUUUAUGCGGGGAUAAAGGUGUCCACGUGUGGGUGUUUGCAGGUACCGCAUGAAUAAGGACCGGCUAAUUCCGUGCCAGCAGCCGCGGUAAUACGGAAGGUCCGGGCGUUAUCCGGAUUUAUUGGGGUUAAAGGGAGCGUAGGCCGGUCUUUAAGCGUGCCGUGAAAUGUUGGGGCUCAACCCAGGGCGUGCGGCGCGAACUGGAGACCUUGAGUGCGCGGAAGGCAGGCGGAAUUCAUGGUGUAGCGGUGAAAUGCUUAGAUAUCACGAAGAACCCCGAUUGCGAAGGCAGCUUGCCGCAGCGUAACUGACGCUGAAGCUCGAAAGCGCGGGUAUCGAACAGGAUUAGAUACCCCUGUAGUC